RNAcentral lists this non-coding RNA (25 nucleotides) under Cricetulus griseus (Chinese hamster). The record is from RNAcentral. Lineage: Eukaryota; Metazoa; Chordata; Mammalia; Rodentia; Cricetidae.
UAAGGACAAAACGGGACUGGCUUGU